GGGGGCGUCCAGGCUUUGACAGUCGCUUGGUUGCGUUCUUUAAGCGUGCUGGCAGGCUCGUCUGCCUAAAAACGGAAAUUAAAAUUAAACGCUGAUACACAAAAAUUAGCAUUGGCUGCCUAGUGCGCCACGGUCACUUGUGAGGCUGCAUAGCAAAGCUGACCGCCAGAAUGCAGAUGCGCUUGAAACUUUUGCUUGUUGGUUUCAAGUUAAGACUAAGCAAGCAAAGCAACCUUAGAGUUUGCCAAAUUGACUAAGGUGGCAAUUUAAUUUGGCUGGGGCACGAAGAAAGGGGAAUGGCAGGGCGAUUGGACGCGGGUUCGAUUCCCGCCGCCUCCACCA
Molecule: transfer-messenger RNA, 342 nt
Filed under: Christensenellales
Lineage: Bacteria; Bacillati; Bacillota; Clostridia
Also listed under: 1 other name
Description: UMGS2070 sp900557655 Standard tmRNA
Rfam family: transfer-messenger RNA
About the family: Bacterial tmRNA, also known as 10Sa RNA or SsrA, is named for its dual tRNA and mRNA-like properties. Its role is to liberate the mRNA from a stalled ribosome.
Source: RNAcentral